Molecule: ribosomal RNA, 253 nt
Filed under: uncultured bacterium
Lineage: Bacteria
Description: partial 16S ribosomal RNA
Rfam family: Bacterial small subunit ribosomal RNA
Source: RNAcentral
UACGUAGGUGGCAAGCGUUAUCCGGAUUUACUGGGUGUAAAGGGCGUGUAGGCGGGACUGCAAGUCAGAUGUGAAAACCACGGGCUCAACCUGUGGCCUGCAUUUGAAACUGUAGUUCUUGAGUGAUGGAGAGGCAGGCGGAAUUCCGUGUGUAGCGGUGAAAUGCGUAGAUAUACGGAGGAACACCAGUGGCGAAGGCGGCCUGCUGGACAUUAACUGACGCUGAGGCGCGAAAGCGUGGGGAGCAAACAGG